GCAAGUGAUGAUUGUAAUUAUUCUUCACUUUGACCUGACUAUCAGUGAUGAUAAACUUCAACCUGAGC
This is a small nucleolar RNA of Nothobranchius furzeri (turquoise killifish), 68 nucleotides long. NCBI's taxonomy places the organism in Eukaryota, Metazoa, Chordata, Actinopteri, Cyprinodontiformes, Nothobranchiidae. The record is from Ensembl.